ACGAUUGUCGGGGCCUUCGGGUCCCAACUUCAACCCUAUGUUUACUUCAAACGUUUGCUUCGGUGGGACGGCGCCCGCGCCGCCGGCCCUCGGGCUGGAGAGCGCCCACCGAUGGCGGUACCAAACUCUGUUUGCACCUGUGAAGUCUGAGUGAUUGAUAAUUGAAGCA
RNAcentral lists this unclassified non-coding RNA (169 nucleotides) under uncultured fungus. Its description in RNAcentral is "sequence contains ITS1, 5.8S rRNA gene". Lineage: Eukaryota; Fungi. The record is from RNAcentral.